UGGGGAAUUUUGGACAAUGGGGGAAACCCUGAUCCAGCCAUCCCGCGUGUGCGAUGAAGGCCUUCGGGUUGUAAAGCACUUUUGGCAGGAAAGAAACGUCAUGGGUUAAUACCCCGUGAAACUGACGGUACCUGCAGAAUAAGCACCGGCUAACUACGUGCCAGCAGCCGCGGUAAUACGUAGGGUGCAAGCGUUAAUCGGAAUUACUGGGCGUAAAGCGUGCGCAGGCGGUUCGGAAAGAAAGAUGUGAAAUCCCAGAGCUCAACUUUGGAACUGCAUUUUUAACUACCGGGCUAGAGUGUGUCAGAGGGAGGUGGAAUUCCGCGUGUAGCAGUGAAAUGCGUAGAUAUGCGGAGGAACACCGAUGGCGAGGGCAGCCUCCUGAGAUAACACUGACGCUCAUGCACGAAAGCGUGGGGAGCAAGCAGG
RNAcentral lists this ribosomal RNA (429 nucleotides) under Acidobacteriota bacterium. Its description in RNAcentral is "Acidobacteria bacterium partial 16S ribosomal RNA". It matches the Rfam family "Bacterial small subunit ribosomal RNA", at positions 355 to 776 of the family's 1533-position model. Lineage: Bacteria; Pseudomonadati; Acidobacteriota. The record is from RNAcentral.